Molecule: transfer RNA, 90 nt
Filed under: Candidatus Saccharibacteria bacterium RAAC3_TM7_1
Lineage: Bacteria; Candidatus Saccharimonadota
Description: tRNA-Ser (GGA) (tRNA-Ser-GGA-1-1)
Rfam family: tRNA
About the family: Transfer RNA (tRNA) molecules are approximately 80 nucleotides in length. Their secondary structure includes four short double-helical elements and three loops (D, anti-codon, and T loops).
Source: RNAcentral
GGAGAGGUGGCCGAGUGGUUGAAGGCGCACGCUUGGAAAGCGUGUAUACGUGCAAACGUAUCGCAGGUUCGAAUCCUGUUCUCUCCGCCA